UACAUUAUGGUGUUUAAGCAUUAAAGAUUUUGAUUCUUUAGGAAUAUAUAGUUUAUUUAAUGUAA
RNAcentral lists this transfer RNA (65 nucleotides) under Waoraniella jarlinsoni. RNAcentral describes it as "tRNA-Gln". Lineage: Eukaryota; Metazoa; Arthropoda; Insecta; Psocodea; Lachesillidae. The record is from RNAcentral.